RNAcentral lists this ribosomal RNA (237 nucleotides) under uncultured bacterium. RNAcentral describes it as "partial 16S ribosomal RNA". It matches the Rfam family "Bacterial small subunit ribosomal RNA", at positions 524 to 761 of the family's 1533-position model. The record is from RNAcentral.
UACGUAGGGUGCAAGCGUUAAUCGGAAUUACUGGGCGUAAAGCGUGCGCAGGCGGUUUUGUAAGUCUGUCGUGAAAUCCCCGGGCUCAACCUGGGAAUUGCGAUGGAGACUGCAAGGCUAGAAUCUGGCAGAGGGGGGUAGAAUUCCACGUGUAGCAGUGAAAUGCGUAGAGAUGUGGAGGAACACCGAUGGCGAAGGCAGCCCCUGGGUCAAGAUUGACGCUCAUGCACGAAAGCG